This 553-nucleotide long non-coding RNA is filed under the name Salmo salar (Atlantic salmon). RNAcentral describes it as "lncRNA (ENSSSAG00000090185.1)". Lineage: Eukaryota; Metazoa; Chordata; Actinopteri; Salmoniformes; Salmonidae. The record is from RNAcentral.
GGAGGGGGAGGAGGAGGAGGAAGAUGACUGGAGGUUAGGGUUAGGUAGGUACCUUGUAGCAGGUAGAGGAGGAGGAGGAGGAAGAUGACUGGAGGUUAGGGUUAGGUAGGUACCUUGUAGCAGGUAGAGGAGGAGGAGGAGGAGGAAGAUGACUGGAGGUUAGGGUUAGGUAGGUACCUUGUAACAGGUAGAGGAGGAGGAGGAGGAGGAAGAUGACUGGAGGUUAGGGUUAGGUAGGUACCUUGUAGCAGGUAGAGGAGGAGGAGGAGGAGGAAGAUGACUGGAGGUUAGGGUUAAGGUACCUUGUAGCAGGUAGAGGAGGAGGAGGAGGAGGAAGAUGACUGGAGGUUAGGGUUAAGGUACCUUGUAGCAGGUAGAGGAGGAGGAGGAGGAGGAAGAUGGCUCUGGAGGUUAGGGUUAAGGUACCUUGUAGCAGGUAGAGGAGGAGGAGGAGGAGGAAGAUGGCUCUGGAGGUGACCUGGAUCCACCAUCUGAAGAAGAAGGGGAACAACACCACCCUGACGAGACCCUUCCUGGUCAGAGACGUCCAGGG